RNAcentral lists this ribosomal RNA (449 nucleotides) under uncultured bacterium. RNAcentral's name for it is "partial 16S ribosomal RNA". It matches the Rfam family "Bacterial small subunit ribosomal RNA", at positions 338 to 795 of the family's 1533-position model. The record is from RNAcentral.
CCUACGGGUGGCAGCAGUCGAGAAUCUUCGGCAAUGGGGGAAACCCUGACCGAGCGACGCCGCGUGUGGGAUGAAGGCCCUUGGGUUGUAAACCACUGUCAGAGGGGAUGAAGUGCUAGAAAGCUAUCUUUCUAGUUUGACAUAGCCUCAGAGGAAGCACGGGCUAAGUUCGUGCCAGCAGCCGCGGUAAGACGAACUGUGCAAACGUUAUUCGGAAUCACUGGGCUUGAAGAGUGGUUAGGCGGGUUCGAAAGCCCUCGGCUCAACCGGGGAAUUGCGUCCUAAACUGCGAGGCUAGAGUGAGGUAGGGGUGUGUGGAACUUCCAGUGGAGCGGUGAAAUGUGUUGAUAUUGGAAGGAACGCCGGUGGCGAAAGCGACACACUGGACCUUGUCUGACGCUGAGGCACGAAAGCCAGGGGAGCAAACGGGAUUAGAUACCCCAGUAGUC